This 92-nucleotide microRNA precursor is filed under the name Nomascus leucogenys (northern white-cheeked gibbon). Its description in RNAcentral is "mir-544 microRNA precursor family". It matches the Rfam family "mir-544 microRNA precursor family". Lineage: Eukaryota; Metazoa; Chordata; Mammalia; Primates; Hylobatidae. The record is from Rfam by way of RNAcentral.
AUCACCUGGGAAUCUUGCUAAAAUGCGGAUUCUGAUGAAUAGGUUUACACCCUGAGAUUCUGCAUGUGUAACAAGCUCCCAGGUGAAGCCAG